GACGAACGCUGGCGGCGUGCUUAACACAUGCAAGUCGAACGGAAAGGCCCUGCUUUUGUGGGGUGCUCGAGUUGCGAACGGGUGAGUAACACGUGAGUAACCUGCCCUUGACUUUGGGAUAACUUCAGGAAACUGUGGCUAAUACCGCAUAGGAGCACCUGCUGCAUGGUGGGGGUUGGAAAGUUUCGGCGGUUGGGGUUGGACGUGCGGCUUAUUAGCUUGUUGUUGUUGUAGUGGUUUACAAAGGCGUUGACGGGUAGCCGGCCUGAGAGGGUGACCGGGCACAGUGGGACAGAGGAGGGGGCGAGACGGAAACGGGAGGAAGCGGUGGGGAAUAUUGCAAGAAAGGCGGAAGCAUGAUGCAGCAACGCCGGGUGCGGGAUGACGGCCGUAGGGUUGUAAAGAGUGUGCGACUGUGAAGAAGAGUGAGUGACGGUAAUGUGUAAAGAAGCACCGGCUAACUACGUG
Molecule: ribosomal RNA, 468 nt
Filed under: uncultured bacterium
Lineage: Bacteria
Description: partial 16S ribosomal RNA
Rfam family: Bacterial small subunit ribosomal RNA
Source: RNAcentral